This is a long non-coding RNA of Haliotis rubra (blacklip abalone), 1752 nucleotides long. RefSeq lists it as uncharacterized. The transcript has 2 exons. Lineage: Eukaryota; Metazoa; Mollusca; Gastropoda; Lepetellida; Haliotidae. The record is from RefSeq and is a predicted model, not a curated record.
GCAACUGGGAUGCGAUAACACGUGUCAACCAAGUCAGGGAGCCUGACCACCAGAUCCUGUUAGUCGCCCCUUAGGACAAGCAUGGGUUGCUGAUGAUCGAUUCUAACCGGGAUCUUCACAGGUCCAUCAUCAACAAAUAUUGUGAGCAUCAAUUUCAUGACUUAGAGUCACACUGGUCAGACACAUCGAUUCGGAGACACUUGACAUACAGUUUGUUUUCAUUAUUAUUAUUAUUUUUAUUAUAUACAGAUUUGAAUAAAUAAAUGCAACACAGGGUUUUCAGGUCCUCCUUGUUUAUUGUUAUUAUUAUUUAAUUAUAGAUGUGUUUUAUAGAUUGAAAAUUAUUUUUAUGUUUAACAGAUUUAGAUACAUGAAUGCAGCAAAGAAUACUUGCGUGAUCCUGGCACUGUCAGGCUGGUUACAAAUAAUGAUUAUUAUUAUUAUUUUGUUGUUUUACACGACUGUGACUCUUCAAGUGAGAGCCUCUCCCAAUUCUUUUGUUAUUUUGCUGACAUCUUUGGGAUGAAACCAUCUGAGAUGAUUACGUUUUUGUUUAAGUUGUGUAUGCUUUGUCAAUGAAAUGAAGGCACAGUAUAAUCUACAGGAUGAUGUUCCAAGAGGUUUGUAAUGCAGAUUCUUUGUCAGGGUAUGACUAUGGUUUGAUGUGACAGUGCGAUUUGUUAUAGUAAAUUCGACUUUUAGAGUUGAUGAUGUACAUGAUUAUUUAAGUAAAGUAUCCGAUUGGUUUAUGAUGAAUACAUAAUCAUAUUUGAUGUGUAUAGAUUUGGAAUGUACAUACGUCUAUGGUUGUUUGUUUGAGAAACAUGUACAAAGGUUAAGCAUGAUAUGUGAAGGAACCUUUUUCAAUCCAUUCAAAGUUGUUCACACUUGGCGCACCAGGUUAUUUUUGUUCUGUUUUUGUGCAGUAGCUUUAAAUGAUGAACUGGUGGAACUAACGACACGUGUACUUAUGAACUGUCAUAGGUACCUGCUUGUAAACUGUCAUUGGAAUUGGGGCAUAGGUACCUGCUUGUAAACUGCCAUUGGACUUGGGACACAGGUACCUGCUUGUAAGCUGUCAUUGGACUUUGGGCACAGGUACUUGAUUGUAAACUGUCAUUGGAAUUGGGGCAUUGGUACCUGCUUGUAAGCGGCCAUUGGACUUGGGACACAGGUACCUGUUUGUAAGCUGUCAUUGGACCUGGGACACAGGUACCUGCUUGUAAACUGUCAUUGGGAUUGGGACAUAGGUACCUGCUGUCCUUUUGCCUCCUAUGUAUCCGAUUGUAGACACUCACUCACUCCGGGGAAUGGGCAUCUGCUUCUAAAUCCUUAGUUACUCAGGGGAAAAGAGGGACCGCCAGUGUACUGCUCACUGUCACGCUUGAAGACCCUUCUGGGAGACUGGGCACCUGCUUGGAACUCUCAGAGAAUCCUGUACUGGGAUCGACACCAUCUUUCUAUAACUUUUGUAUUGAAAUCACAAUCUAUACUUACACAAAUGUACUUGUUUUGUUUUGUUAUAUCUAAUCAUAAUGUUGGGUAGAAAUUUAUAAUUUCAUGAAUUACACCAUUACGUCUUAUCCACUUAUUUUCUUUUGGUAUAUUAUUUACCAAUUAUUUUGUUUACCGCCCAUGUGUAUACACCGGUUUUUAUUUUGGGAUGUUUUACUGAUGAAUAUAUUAUGAUGGGUUGCCAUGGCUGCUGAUGACUUGUAAUGAGUGGAAGGAAUAAACGUAUUCCAUACAGAA